RNAcentral lists this ribosomal RNA (1554 nucleotides) under Klebsiella aerogenes. RNAcentral describes it as "bacterial SSU rRNA". It matches the Rfam family "Bacterial small subunit ribosomal RNA". Lineage: Bacteria; Pseudomonadati; Pseudomonadota; Gammaproteobacteria; Enterobacterales; Enterobacteriaceae. The record is from RNAcentral.
ACUUAAAUUGAAGAGUUUGAUCAUGGCUCAGAUUGAACGCUGGCGGCAGGCCUAACACAUGCAAGUCGAGCGGUAACACAGAGAGCUUGCUCUCGGGUGACGAGCGGCGGACGGGUGAGUAAUGUCUGGGAAACUGCCUGAUGGAGGGGGAUAACUACUGGAAACGGUAGCUAAUACCGCAUAACGUCGCAAGACCAAAGUGGGGGACCUUCGGGCCUCAUGCCAUCAGAUGUGCCCAGAUGGGAUUAGCUAGUAGGUGGGGUAAUGGCUCACCUAGGCGACGAUCCCUAGCUGGUCUGAGAGGAUGACCAGCCACACUGGAACUGAGACACGGUCCAGACUCCUACGGGAGGCAGCAGUGGGGAAUAUUGCACAAUGGGCGCAAGCCUGAUGCAGCCAUGCCGCGUGUAUGAAGAAGGCCUUCGGGUUGUAAAGUACUUUCAGCGAGGAGGAAGGCGUUAAGGUUAAUAACCUUGGCGAUUGACGUUACUCGCAGAAGAAGCACCGGCUAACUCCGUGCCAGCAGCCGCGGUAAUACGGAGGGUGCAAGCGUUAAUCGGAAUUACUGGGCGUAAAGCGCACGCAGGCGGUCUGUCAAGUCGGAUGUGAAAUCCCCGGGCUCAACCUGGGAACUGCAUUCGAAACUGGCAGGCUAGAGUCUUGUAGAGGGGGGUAGAAUUCCAGGUGUAGCGGUGAAAUGCGUAGAGAUCUGGAGGAAUACCGGUGGCGAAGGCGGCCCCCUGGACAAAGACUGACGCUCAGGUGCGAAAGCGUGGGGAGCAAACAGGAUUAGAUACCCUGGUAGUCCACGCCGUAAACGAUGUCGACUUGGAGGUUGUGCCCUUGAGGCGUGGCUUCCGGAGCUAACGCGUUAAGUCGACCGCCUGGGGAGUACGGCCGCAAGGUUAAAACUCAAAUGAAUUGACGGGGGCCCGCACAAGCGGUGGAGCAUGUGGUUUAAUUCGAUGCAACGCGAAGAACCUUACCUACUCUUGACAUCCAGAGAACUUAGCAGAGAUGCUUUGGUGCCUUCGGGAACUCUGAGACAGGUGCUGCAUGGCUGUCGUCAGCUCGUGUUGUGAAAUGUUGGGUUAAGUCCCGCAACGAGCGCAACCCUUAUCCUUUGUUGCCAGCGGUUAGGCCGGGAACUCAAAGGAGACUGCCAGUGAUAAACUGGAGGAAGGUGGGGAUGACGUCAAGUCAUCAUGGCCCUUACGAGUAGGGCUACACACGUGCUACAAUGGCAUAUACAAAGAGAAGCGACCUCGCGAGAGCAAGCGGACCUCAUAAAGUAUGUCGUAGUCCGGAUUGGAGUCUGCAACUCGACUCCAUGAAGUCGGAAUCGCUAGUAAUCGUAGAUCAGAAUGCUACGGUGAAUACGUUCCCGGGCCUUGUACACACCGCCCGUCACACCAUGGGAGUGGGUUGCAAAAGAAGUAGGUAGCUUAACCUUCGGGAGGGCGCUUACCACUUUGUGAUUCAUGACUGGGGUGAAGUCGUAACAAGGUAACCGUAGGGGAACCUGCGGUUGGAUCACCUCCUUACCUUAAAGAA